GGUUUAAUCUGCCCAUUGAGUAUUAAAAGGCCGCAGUAAUUUGACUGUGCAAAGGUAGCAUAAUCAAUAGUUUUUUAAUUGAGAGCUAGAAUGAAUGAUUGGACGAAAAAAUAUCUUUAUUAAUAUUAAAUAAUUAGAAUUUAAUUUUUAAGUUAAAAAGCUUAAAUGAUAAUAAAAGACAAGAAGACCCUAUAGAGUUUAAUAAUUUAUUAAUUAUUAUUUUUUAGUUUAUUUUUGGUAAUUUAAAAUAAUUAUUUAAUUGGGGUGAUUUAAAAAUUUAAAAAACUUUUUAUGAUUUGAACAAUAAUAUUUGAUUAAUUGAUCCUGAUUAAGAUUAAAGAUUAAAUUACCUUAGGGAUAACAGCGUAAUUUUUUUGAAGAGUUCAUAUCGAUAAAUAAGAUUGCGACCUCGAUGUUGGAUUAAGAUAUAAUUUUAAUGUAGAAGUUAAAAAUUUAAGUCUGUUCGACUUUUUAAAUCUUACAUGAUC
This 488-nucleotide ribosomal RNA is filed under the name Triomicrus sp. QH15. RNAcentral's name for it is "partial large subunit ribosomal RNA". The stretch from base 357 to 488 matches the Rfam family "Archaeal large subunit ribosomal RNA", at positions 2542 to 2674 of the family's 2987-position model. Lineage: Eukaryota; Metazoa; Arthropoda; Insecta; Coleoptera; Staphylinidae. The record is from RNAcentral.